RNAcentral lists this ribosomal RNA (274 nucleotides) under uncultured bacterium. RNAcentral's name for it is "partial 16S ribosomal RNA". It matches the Rfam family "Bacterial small subunit ribosomal RNA", at positions 523 to 796 of the family's 1533-position model. The record is from RNAcentral.
AUACGGAGGGUGCAAGCGUUACUCGGAAUCACUGGGCGUAAAGCGCGCGCAGGCGGCUAUUUAAGCUGGAUGUGAAAGCCUACGGCUCAACCGUAGAACUGCAUCCAAAACUAUUUAGCUAGAGUGUGGGAGAGGAAGAUGGAAUUAGUUGUGUAGGGGUAAAAUCCGUAGAGGUAACUAGGAAUACCAAAAGCGAAGGCAAUCUUCUGGAACACUUCUGACGCUGAGGCGCGAAAGCGUGGGGAGCAAACAGGAUUAGAAACCCUAGUAGUCC